GACGAACGCUGGCGGCGUGCUUAACACAUGCAAGUCGUACGGUAAGGCCCUUUCGGGGGUACACGAGUGGCGAACGGGUGAGUAACACGUGAGUAACCUGCCCACAACUUUGGGAUAACGCUAGGAAACUGGUGCUAAUACUGGAUAUGUGCUCCUGCUGCAUGGUGGGGGUUGGAAAGCUCCGGCGGUUGUGGAUGGACUCGCGGCCUAUCAGCUUGUUGGUGGGGUAGUGGCCUACCAAGGCGGCGACGGGUAGCCGGCCUGAGAGGGUGACCGGCCACAUUGGGACUGAGAUACGGCCCAGACACCUACGGGAGGCAGCAGUGGGGAAUAUUGCACAAUGGGCGCAAGCCUGAUGCAGCAACGCCGCGUGCGGGAUGACGGCCUUCGGGUUGUAAACCGCUUUCAGCAGGGACGAAGCUUUUUGUGACGGUACCUGCAGAAGAAGCACCGGCUAACUACGUG
RNAcentral lists this ribosomal RNA (465 nucleotides) under uncultured bacterium. RNAcentral describes it as "partial 16S ribosomal RNA". It matches the Rfam family "Bacterial small subunit ribosomal RNA", at positions 28 to 507 of the family's 1533-position model. The record is from RNAcentral.